CCUACGGGAGGCAGCAGUAGGGAAUCUUCCGCAACUGGAGGAAAGUCUGACGGAGCAACCCCGCGCGAGUGAUGAAGGCUUUCGGUUCGUAAAGCUCUGUUGUUAGGGAAGAACAAGUGCUGGAUUAUACUGCUUGUACCUUGACGGUACCUUACCCGAAAGCCACGGCUAACUACAUGCCAGCAGCCGCGGUAAU
Molecule: ribosomal RNA, 196 nt
Filed under: uncultured bacterium
Lineage: Bacteria
Description: partial 16S ribosomal RNA
Rfam family: Bacterial small subunit ribosomal RNA
Source: RNAcentral